Molecule: ribosomal RNA, 492 nt
Filed under: uncultured bacterium
Lineage: Bacteria
Description: partial 16S ribosomal RNA
Rfam family: Bacterial small subunit ribosomal RNA
Source: RNAcentral
AGUGAACGCUGGCGGUAGGCCUAACACAUGCAAGUCGAACGGCAGCACAGUAAGAGCUUGCUCUUACGGGUGGCGAGUGGCGGACGGGUGAGGAAUACAUCGGAAUCUACUUUUUCGUGGGGGAUAACGUAGGGAAACUUACGCUAAUACCGCAUACGACCUACGGGUGAAAGCAGGGGAUCUUCGGACCUUGCGCGAUUGAAUGAGCCGAUGUCGGAUUAGCUAGUUGGCGGGGUAAAGGCCCGCCAAGGCGACGAUCCGUAGCUGGUCUGAGAGGAUGAUCAGCCACACUGGAACUGAGACACGGUCCAGACUCCUACGGGAGGCAGCAGUGGGGAAUAUUGGACAAUGGGCGCAAGCCUGAUCCAGCCAUACCGCGUGGGUGAAGAAGGCCUUCGGGUUGUAAAGCCCUUUUGUUGGAAAAGAAAAGCAGCAGGUUAAUACCCCGCUGUUCUGACGGUACCCAAAGAAUAAGCACCGGCUAACUUCGUG